GAUGAACGCUGGCGGCGUGCCUAAUACAUGCAAGUCGAGCGAACAGACGAGGAGCUUGCUCCUCUGACGUUAGCGGCGGACGGGUGAGUAACACGUGGAUAACCUACCUAUAAGACUGGGAUAACUUCGGGAAACCGGAGCUAAUACCGGAUAAUAUAUUGAACCGCAUGGUUCAAUAGUGAAAGACGGUUUUGCUGUCACUUAUAGAUGGAUCCGCGCCGCAUUAGCUAGUUGGUAAGGUAACGGCUUACCAAGGCAACGAUGCGUAGCCGACCUGAGAGGGUGAUCGGCCACACUGGAGCUGAGCCACGGUCCAGACUCCUACGGGAGGCAGCAGUAGGGAAUCUUCCGCAAUGGGCGAAAGCUUGACGGAGCAACGCCGCGUGAGUGAUGAAGGUCUUCGGAUCGUAAAACUCUGUUAUUAGGGAAGAACAAAUGUGUAAGUAACUAUGCACGUCUUGACGGUACCUAAUCAGAAAGCCACGGCUAACUACGUG
This 497-nucleotide ribosomal RNA is filed under the name uncultured bacterium. RNAcentral describes it as "partial 16S ribosomal RNA". It matches the Rfam family "Bacterial small subunit ribosomal RNA", at positions 28 to 507 of the family's 1533-position model. The record is from RNAcentral.